Molecule: long non-coding RNA, 3249 nt
Filed under: Marmota monax (woodchuck)
Lineage: Eukaryota; Metazoa; Chordata; Mammalia; Rodentia; Sciuridae
Source: RNAcentral
AAACAUUGAGAAUGAGGCAGAAAUUAAGAUGCUAUUUGUAUGAUAGGUUCAAGCUCAAGGCAGUGCAUGUAGGGAUGAACAAAAAGAGGCAAAGCAGGAUGCAAAGCAGUGCUCUGAGUUAUCACCCUGGCUACUCCUCCAAAAAGUCCGUUUCAAAGACUCAGCAGGUUGCUCAGCAGAUAGCAGCUCUGUUCACUGGGCAUGUGAACUGAAAAAGACUCCAGAAAUCAUCCUAUUUAAAUGCCUCAUUUUAUAGAGGGAACUCAGAUUUAUUUCUUGAGAAAACAAGAGAAGAUAUAAAGCACAUUUAUAAUGUAUUUAAAUGUCGCCUUAGUGGCACUUUUGGCUUCUCCCUCUUCUGCAUCAGUCCCAUCCAUUCUCACUGGUCCUGCUUCAGAUCUCACUGUCCAGUUGGUGUCCUCAUAGUUCUUUUACCAGAACUAUUGAAAUACCCUGUCAGAACUCUUUCUGUCCCCAUUCCCCUUUCACCUCCCACCUCAAACUACCUUCUGAGAAAACAGCUCUUGUGAGAGACCAAGCUCGCUUGUGACUGAGUCAACUCCCCUGCUGGGUGAUAUGGCACCCAUGCUGCUAGACUGCCCCACUCUUCUAAGGUUCAAGUGACUGUGUCUUGCUACAGCCCCAUGGGUGAAGCUAUGCUCACUUGUUCCUUUGUAAUAUAAUCCCUUGCCCUGUUUAGGGUAGAAUCUUCCAUGGAAGUGCCUUGUGUGUGUCCCCUUCUCUUACUGUGCCCUUGGGUGUGGCCUACCCAGAUGUCAGUCAACCUGCUGACAGUGUACAUCAUGAAGAUAGACUCAGCCCCUUGAAACCUGCCUCAUUUGAAUAGCUUCUCCUCAAUAAAAGGGGUCAGCGCGUUCUCUCUCUCUCUCUCUCUCUCUCUCUCUCUCUCUCUCAUCCUGUGGACCUUUAAGGUCAGAGGAGCUGUCACAGCAACCCCGAUGAAAAAGGUAUUUGUGUCUCUUGUGUGGUUAUUUUGCGCAGCCCAGUUAGCCCAGUUCAACUGGAGUAAACCCUGAGUCUUUUAGUCUCAAACAGAAACCCUGCAAGCUCUGAUCUCUUCUGAGGAUAUGCCUUCAGUGGCUUCCUGAUGCCCCAACAGUACUUCUUGAACUUCUUUUUGUGUCAGAAAUCACCUGGAUGCUAGUUGCUGAGAGGCCCUGGGUUUUAUUACCAGUAUCAUGGGGGCAGGGGGUGGAAAUUUUAAUCCUCAUGAUAAUACUGUGAAGGGGGAGUUAAUCCUCAAGAUAGUACUUUGAAAGAUAUGGCUGUGCCAUUGUAUGGAUUUAAUUAAUUGAGGUUACACAGCUAAUGAAUCUGACCCAUACUAUGUGAUUUUGACCCAUCCAUUUGUGUGUGUGUGUGUACGCUCACAUGUGCACUCCUGCAUUCUGGGAACUGAACCCAGGGCCUCUAACAUGCUAGGCAAGCGUUCUACCACUAAUCAACAUCCCCAAACCUUCUACUUGCUUUAGUAGAUUUUUAAAAUCACAUAUUUUAGCCUGGUGAGGUGGCCCAAUGCUGUAAUUCCAGUAACCUGAGAGGCUGAGGCAGGAGCCUACAAGUUGGAGGCCAGCCUGGGUAACUUAGAAGCCCUGUUUCAAAAUAAAAAGAGCUGGGGAUGUAGCUCAGUACUUGCCUAGCACAGGUCAGGCUCUGGAUUCAACAGCCCCUCUCCCCGAUACACCUCAUUAAUCCUUAAUUUUGGAGGUCACACAGCUAAGCAAUAUAUUAUUAGUCUACAGCUUUGCUAUAGAUGACACUGUUAUGCUCGAAUUCGGGACCCCCCAAAAGACCACCAGAGACCAAGAUCGAUGUAAACAGCAAAGAGGUGUUUAUUGUGAGCUAGCUUGGUCCUCUACUGGUGACGCUGAGAGGCCCCGAGCCCAGGGUUUGCAGCAGUUUUAUACAUUCUUUGGAGAAGGCAGGGACCCCCACAUACAUCAUAGUAUCUCUUGGCAAAUCAUCACACACCUCGGGAGAAUCAAACAACUCUAAAACAUGAUUAGCACAUUCACUGGCCGGAACAAGUUGGGUAGGGGUGAUUGGUUACUACAAGAAGGGGAUUCAUUUGAACUGAUUGGUUUAAGCCAAGAGGGGUGUACGUGCUGAACUACAUGGUUUCCCAACACGUUAUCAACCACCUUAAACUACUGGGAGGGUCAUCUGGCAUCCCAGGUAUUUCCCUGUCUCAUGCUGAUUGGUAGCCGCUAGGGGGUUGCUAUGGAUCCCCACCUAGCCUGACUGAGUCAGGGACACCUGGCGCAGCAGAUCUUUUCCUAUCAUUUGUAGAUAAACAACUUAGCAGGGUGGGAAUGUGCCUAGGAGUGCUCUGUGGGUCCUUCCAAGGACAAAGGUCAUGUCCCUUCCUUGGACAGGCUUUGCUCUGAGGUAGAGGCUGGUUUUUCAACACCUCUGACUGAAGCUACCUAAUAGUUUGUUAAAAUUCUUGUUUUUUAAAGAGAGAGAAUUUUAAUAUUUAUUUUUUAGUUUUCGGCGGACACAACAUCUUUGUUUUGUAUGUGGUGCUGAGGAUGGAACCCCAGGCCGAACGCAUGCCAGGCGAGCGCGCUACCGUUUGAGCCACAUCCCCAGCCCUGUUAAAAUUCUUCUGUGAAAAGUUGCAUUUCAGUAUUCAGACAAAAAAAAAAAAUACUAGACUACUCACAGAUAGCCAGAAAAAUGGGCCUGGAGAAGAAAAGAAGGAAGACAGAAAUGGGAAAUCAAAUUUCUGACUCCAACUAUUCCUAGCCACAAGGACAUCUCCUUAACAGCCCAUAGAAGAGACCAACCCUCAAAAGUACUUCCUCUUGCUCCAACAGACCUUCACUCCCACUCUUGUGCUGAUUAAGGCUUAGAAAUCACUUUUCUUCAGAUUUGCUGAAGAAGGCAAAAUAGAGUUGAUUGGCCUCUUUUCUAAGUCCUAUAUCUAUAGGGAAAGAUCAAGCCCAUAAAAACCCCUGGACGACAGACACUCCUUGGCAUCCCUCUCUUGAGACUCCUCCUUCUUCAGGAGCUCUGCUUUCUUUCUGUUAUGCUAACAAAUCCUGUCACUUUGCUCUCACCCUUGUGUCCCUCUUCAUUAUUUGUGAGACAAAGAACCCACCCAAUCCACCCUCCUGUUACACUCUAGUCCUUUAUUUUCUAUUAUCGUCCUAGACCCACUCCCCCGCCCCCAUCAUCUUCCUCUGUACUCUCAUGAAAUAUGUUUUUUGUUGUUGUUGUUUUUUG